RNAcentral lists this ribosomal RNA (253 nucleotides) under uncultured bacterium. Its description in RNAcentral is "partial 16S ribosomal RNA". It matches the Rfam family "Bacterial small subunit ribosomal RNA", at positions 524 to 776 of the family's 1533-position model. The record is from RNAcentral.
UACGUAGGGUGCAAGCGUUAAUCGGAAUUACUGGGCGUAAAGCGUGCGCAGGCGGCUUUGCAAGACAGAUGUGAAAUCCCCGGGCUUAACCUGGGAAUGGCCAUGGAAACUGGCGAGCUGGAGUCUGGCAGAGGGGGGUGGAAUUCCGCGUGUAGCAGUGAAAUGCGUAGAGAUGCGGAGGAACACCGAUGGCGAAGGCAGCCCCCUGGGCUAAGACUGACGCUGAGGCACGAAAGCGUGGGGAGCAAACAGG